Molecule: small nuclear RNA, 188 nt
Filed under: Carassius auratus (goldfish)
Lineage: Eukaryota; Metazoa; Chordata; Actinopteri; Cypriniformes; Cyprinidae
Description: U2 spliceosomal RNA (ENSCARG00000047710.1)
Rfam family: U2 spliceosomal RNA
About the family: U2 is a small nuclear RNA (snRNA) component of the spliceosome (involved in pre-mRNA splicing).
Source: Rfam by way of RNAcentral
AUCGCUUCUCGGCCUUUUGGCUAAGAUCAAGUGUAGUAUCUGUUCUUAUCAGUUUAAUAUCUGAUACGUCCCCAUCCGGGGACUACAUAUUAAAUGGAUUUUAGAUCACGGAGCUGGAGCCGGGCUUGCUCCGUCCACUCCAUGCAUCGGCCUGGUAUUGCAGUGUCUCCAGGAACGGUGUGCUUUCC